UUCUCAGUCACAUGUAUUACUAAAAAAAAUGAAAGCAAAACAUGGCAUGCGAAGAUCACGGGCAACGGAAUUAAAUUUGACCUUCAUAUAUCAUAACAAUCACAAGUAAUGCAGGAAUCUUAUUUGCCAAACCAUAAAUUAACAAAAGGAGAAAAGGUUAAAAUUCAACAAUAAGAGUAAAUAAGCCUAAGAUCAAGAUAUGACAAAUCCAAAUAAAUCAGAUACGAGAAUCAAGAUAAUCAAGCAAAAAGCCUCUUCUUUUAGUGGGAAAGUAGAAACUUCAUUACUAUAAGAAUAAAAGUCCGAUGGUCAAAUAAAUGUCUAUCACAAAGUCAAGGCGUUAUGCACUCAUACAUCAAACAUCCACUUUCAAUGUCCCAUAUUAUAAUAUUGAGUUCCAAUUCUCAAUCAGGAUUGAAACUCCGAUUCUCUUAAAAUUGCUAGUCCUGAUUUUAAUUUCUUAGAAAUUUCAUAUCAGCAUCAAUACUGCUUUCAUUGCUUCAGAUCAAGA
Molecule: long non-coding RNA, 511 nt
Filed under: Phoenix dactylifera (date palm)
Lineage: Eukaryota; Viridiplantae; Streptophyta; Magnoliopsida; Arecales; Arecaceae
Description: long non-coding RNA (PDAC_LNC021667)
Source: RNAcentral